This is a non-coding RNA of Acanthosepion pharaonis, 103 nucleotides long. NCBI's taxonomy places the organism in Eukaryota, Metazoa, Mollusca, Cephalopoda, Sepiida, Sepiidae. The record is from the annotation of a GenBank genome assembly.
UUACAGCCACACCACGUUGAAACACCGAUUCCCGUGCGUUCAUUGUAGUGAAGCAACGUUGAGCAUGGUCAGUACCAAGAUGGGUGACUGCUUGGAAAUACCA